Molecule: transfer RNA, 87 nt
Filed under: Reyranella sp.
Lineage: Bacteria; Pseudomonadati; Pseudomonadota; Alphaproteobacteria; Hyphomicrobiales; Reyranellaceae
Description: tRNA-Leu
Rfam family: tRNA
About the family: Transfer RNA (tRNA) molecules are approximately 80 nucleotides in length.
Source: RNAcentral
GCGGGCGUGGCGGAACUGGUAGAUGUGCUGGAUUCAAAAUCCUGUUCUGGUGACAGAGUGCCGGUUCGAUUCCGACCGCCCGCACCA